Non-coding RNA from Pocillopora verrucosa, 898 nucleotides. The record is from RefSeq and is a predicted model, not a curated record. Lineage: Eukaryota; Metazoa; Cnidaria; Anthozoa; Scleractinia; Pocilloporidae.
CCACUCCAUAAAUGCCUGACGUAUUUCAUCGCCGUAACUUCAAAAUAACAUCACUGGAGAUUUUACUGAAUUUAGAAAGAGUGAAUCACUAGACGUACCUUCAUGGUACGCUUCGGCACCAAGUCAGGCUCGUUUGUUAUCGCCAGGGGUAUAUUGGCUCGACUGCGUACCAAAAUGGUACGAUUAGGUGAGAACUGGGUAAAAUAUCUAUUAGAUCACGGAAGAAAGACCACGUGGAUGAUUGUCGCGAGCGAUGGCGCUGGCAAGAAGAGCGAGAGUUUUCGACAGGCUGUAUUUUAGUACAAAGCAAAAAGGCGAAAAGGUUUAAGAACUUCAGUGCCUUCAGAGGAUGAAGUCCAACAUCAUAUCACAAUCUGCCGCUUCAAUUAAACAAUGGUCGAAAGUAAGAGUGAGGAUUCUGACACAACUGCAAAGAGCGCCGAGGAAAAGGAAAGUGGAAAGGGAGCAUGCCUGUAUGUGUCCUCAGCAAAAAGUUCAGAUUCAACAACAAUCAUCAUCAAGAAGCUGGAGGCCAUAAGGAUUUACUGUUAACAUUAGGAAUCAAGCAUUGCAUCGGCUUCACAGUUAUGUGCCUCCAUGAGGAUGGCUCUUAUUGUGUUGGAAGACUGUGAAGAAAACAAUUUCAUUGAGACUAUCAAAUCACCGAAGGAUGAUGAUACAACAAGCACACGCCCAUUGUAUUUAUUUCUUCUGGACCCCUGUCAGAUACUUGAUGCAAGAGCAGUACAUUGAUGAGCUUGUGUUCAAAUGCUUGACGCUGGAGUGUGAUCUGGGAAGUGCAGUAAAUUGCCUGAUAAUGCAACCAGGACAAUAAACAGUGACCAAGACAGAAUUUCUCCCUACAAUAUCAAUACAAUAUCAAGUGGACAAGUGAUGG